UACAGAGGGGGCAAGCGUUGUUCGGAAUUACUGGGCGUAAAGGGCGCGUAGGCGGCCUGCUAAGUCGCACGUGAAAUCCCUGGGCUCAACCCAGGAACUGCGUCCGAUACUGGUUGGCUUGAAUCCGGGAGAGGGAUGUGGAAUUCCAGGUGUAGCGGUGAAAUGCGUAGAUAUCUGGAGGAACACCGGUGGCGAAGGCGACAUCCUGGACCGGCAUUGACGCUGAGGCGCGAAAGCCAGGGGAGCAAACAGG
This 253-nucleotide ribosomal RNA is filed under the name uncultured bacterium. RNAcentral describes it as "partial 16S ribosomal RNA". It matches the Rfam family "Bacterial small subunit ribosomal RNA", at positions 524 to 776 of the family's 1533-position model. The record is from RNAcentral.